AAGUCGUAACAAGGUAUCCUUCUCCGGAAGCCUGUGUUCUCAGCGACUCUAAACAAUCGAGCAAGUGGCGUCGGCCGCUACAUAAUCGAAUUGCGGGGAAGCCCUAAAGCUCUAGCUACUCCCCAGCGGCCGAAAGGCUCCUGGCAAAGUCACAAUACUAGAGAUGGAACAAUGGGUGAUCCGCAGCCGAGCCCCUACCGCGUUACUAUAUGCUACGGGGAAGGUUCACAGACUAAGUGGUUAUGGGUCGAGUUUGCUCGACUUAAGAUAUAGUCGGUCGUUCAGCGAAAGCUAGACGCUAAGACGUUCCGUAGGUGAACCUGCGGAAGGAUCAUUACAGAGUUCAUGCCCUCGCGGGGGUAGAUCUCCCACCCUUGAAUACUAUACCUUAGUUGCUUUGGUAGGCCGUGGAAACACCAUGGGCUUCCGGCUUAUGCGUGCCUGCCAGAGGAAACAAACUCUGUUUUUAGUGAUGUCUGAGUACUAUAUAAUAGUUAAAAAACUUUCAACAACGGAUCUCUUGGUUCUGGCAUCGAUGAAGAACGCAGCGAAAUGCGAUAAGUAAUGUGAAUUGCAGAAUUUAGUGAAUCAUCGAAUCUUUGAACGCACAUUGCGCCCCGUGGUAUUCCGGGGUAUGCCUGUCGAGCGUCAUUUCAACCCAUCACGCCCCGGCGUGACUUGGGGCCUGCGGUUUCGCAGCCCUAAACUCAGUGGCGUGUAUUGAGCUCUGAGCGUAGUAAAUCUUCUCGCUAUAGGGUCUCGGUAGCUGCUUGCCAACAACCCCCAAUUUUUAUCAGGUUGACCUCGGAUCAGGUAGGGAUACCCGCUGAACUUAAGCAUAUCAAUAAGCGGAGGAAAAGAAACCAACAGGGAUUACCUCAGUAACGGCGAGUGAAGCGGUGACAGCUCAAAUUUGAAAUCCGCCGCAAGGCCGAGUUGUAAUUUGUAGAAGAUGCUUUGGGUAUAGCCCCGGUCUAAGUUCGUUGGAACACGACGUCGUAGAGGGUGAGAAUCCCGUAUGUGACUGGGUGCUUUUGCCUAUGUAAAGCUCUUUCGACGAGUCGAGUUGUUUGGGAAUGCAGCUCAAAAUGGGUGGUAUAUUUCAUCUAAAGCUAAAUAUUGGCCAGAGACCGAUAGCGCACAAGUAGAGUGAUCGAAAGAUGAAAAGCACUUUGGAAAGGGAGUUAAACAGUACGUGAAAUUGUUGAAAGGGAAGCGCUUGCAACCGGACUUGCACGCUGUCGAUCAUCCAGGCUUCUGUUUGGUGCACUCGACGGUGUUCAGGCCAGCAUCGGUUUUGGUGGUGGGAUAAAGGCCUUGGGAAUGUAGCUUCUUUCGGGGAGUGUUAUAGCCCUCGGUGCAAUGCCGCCUACCGGGACCGAGGACCGCGCUUCGGCUAGGAUGCUGGCGUAAUGGUUGUAAGCGACC
RNAcentral lists this ribosomal RNA (1428 nucleotides) under uncultured fungus. Its description in RNAcentral is "eukaryotic LSU rRNA". The stretch from base 800 to 1428 matches the Rfam family "Eukaryotic large subunit ribosomal RNA", at positions 1 to 649 of the family's 3401-position model. The record is from RNAcentral. Lineage: Eukaryota; Fungi.